This 216-nucleotide ribosomal RNA is filed under the name Campeiostachys nutans. Its description in RNAcentral is "Elymus nutans partial small subunit ribosomal RNA". The stretch from base 47 to 216 matches the Rfam family "Eukaryotic small subunit ribosomal RNA", at positions 693 to 864 of the family's 1831-position model. The record is from RNAcentral. Lineage: Eukaryota; Viridiplantae; Streptophyta; Magnoliopsida; Poales; Poaceae.
GGACCGGCUUACUGGUCGUGCCUCUGGUACGUACUGGUAUUGUUGGUUUCUCCCUUCUGAAGAACCAUGAUGUCAUUUAUUUGGUGUUGUGGGGAAUCAGGACUGUUACUUUGAAAAAAUUAGAGUGUUUAAAGCAGGCUCACGCUUGAAUACAUUAGCAUGGAAUAAUGAAAUAGGACGUUUGAUUCUAUUUUGUUGGUUUCUAGGAUCGACGUA